This 253-nucleotide ribosomal RNA is filed under the name uncultured bacterium. RNAcentral's name for it is "partial 16S ribosomal RNA". It matches the Rfam family "Bacterial small subunit ribosomal RNA", at positions 524 to 776 of the family's 1533-position model. The record is from RNAcentral.
UACGUAGGGGGCUAGCGUUGUCCGGAAUCAUUGGGCGUAAAGAGCGCGUAGGCGGCUGGAUAAGUCCGGUGUAAAAGUCAAAGGCUCAACCUUUGAAUGCCGCUGGAAACUAUCUGGCUAGAGUGCGGUAGGGGAGACUGGAAUUCCUGGUGUAGCGGUGAAAUGCGCAGAUAUCAGGAGGAACACCGGUGGCGAAGGCGGGUCUCUGGGCCGUAACUGACGCUGAGGAGCGAAAGCGUGGGGAGCGAACAGG